UUGGAGGGCAAGUCUGGUGCCAGCAGCCGCGGUAAUUCCAGCUCCAAUAGCGUAUAUUAAAGUUGUUGCAGUUAAAAAGCUCGUAGUUGAAUUUCGGGAUCAAUAUGCCGGUCGUGCCUUGGUACGCACUGGUAUCUUUGAUUUCUCCCUUCUGAAGAACCUUGAUGUCAUUAAUUUGGUGUCAUGGGGAAUCAGGACUGUUACUUUGAAAAAAUUAGAGUGUUUAAAGCAGG
Molecule: ribosomal RNA, 233 nt
Filed under: uncultured Glomeraceae
Lineage: Eukaryota; Fungi; Glomeromycota; Glomeromycetes; Glomerales; Glomeraceae
Description: partial 18S ribosomal RNA
Rfam family: Eukaryotic small subunit ribosomal RNA
Source: RNAcentral